RNAcentral lists this transfer RNA (66 nucleotides) under Microcondylaea bonellii. RNAcentral's name for it is "Unio bonellii tRNA-Ala". The record is from RNAcentral. Lineage: Eukaryota; Metazoa; Mollusca; Bivalvia; Unionida; Unionidae.
GGCUGUGUACUUUAUCAAAAAGGUCUAGCUUGCACCUAGCCAUAGAGACCCCAUACUCCACAGCCC